AGAGUUUGAUCCUGGCUCAGAAUGAACGCUGGCGGCGUGCUUAACACAUGCAAGUCGUGCGCGAAGGUGGCUUCGGCCACCGGAGAGCGGCGAACGGGUGAGUAACACGUGGGUGAUCUGCCUGGAAGCGGGGGAUAACCUGGGGAAACUCGGGCUAAUACCGCAUACGUUCCUCGUGAUACGUCGUGAGGAAGAAAACCGGCCUCUGCUUGCAAGCUGGUGUUUCCAGAGGAGCCCGCGGCUGAUUAGCUAGUUGGUGAGGUAAUGGCUCACCAAGGCGACGAUCAGUAGCCGGCCUGAGAGGGUGAUCGGCCACACUGGGACUGAGACACGGCCCAGACUCCUACGGGAGGCAGCAGUGGGGAAUAUUGGACAAUGGGCGCAAGCCUGAUCCAGCAACGCCGCGUGGAGGACGAAGGCCUUCGGGUCGUAAACUCCUGUCAGGCGGGACGAAGGUGUGGGGGUAAAUAAUCCUUACACUUGACGGUACCGUCAGAGGAAGCCCCGGCUAACUCCGUGCCAGCAGCCGCGGUAAUACGGAGGGGGCGAGCGUUAUUCGGAAUUAUUGGGCGUAAAGGGCGCGUAGGCGGCUUGGCAAGUCAAAGGUGAAAUCCCUCGGCUCAACUGAGGAACUGCCUUUGAAACUGCCUGGCUUGAGGCCGGGAGGGGAGCGGAAUUCCCAGUGUAGCGGUGAAAUGCGUAGAUAUUGGGAGGAACACCAGUGGCGAAGGCGGCUACCUGGACCGGUUCUGACGCUGAUGCGCGAAAGCGUGGGUAGCAAACAGGAUUAGAUACCCUAGUAGUCC
This 806-nucleotide ribosomal RNA is filed under the name uncultured bacterium. RNAcentral describes it as "bacterial SSU rRNA". It matches the Rfam family "Bacterial small subunit ribosomal RNA", at positions 8 to 796 of the family's 1533-position model. The record is from RNAcentral.